GACGAACGCUGGCGGCGUGCUUAACACAUGCAAGUCGAACGGAAAGGCCCUGCUUUUGUGGGGUGCUCGAGUGGCGAACGGGUGAGUAACACGUGAGUAACCUGCCCUUGACUUUGGGAUAACUUCAGGAAACUGGGGCUAAUACCGGAUAGGAGCUCCUGCUGCAUGGUGGGGGUUGGAAAGUUUCGGCGGUUGGGGAUGGACUCGCGGCUUAUCAGCUUGUUGGUGGGGUAGUGGCUUACCAAGGCUUUGACGGGUAGCCGGCCUGAGAGGGUGACCGGCCACAUUGGGACUGAGAUACGGCCCAGACUCCUACGGGAGGCAGCAGUGGGGAAUAUUGCACAAUGGGCGGAAGCCUGAUGCAGCAACGCCGCGUGCGGGAUGACGGCCUUCGGGUUGUAAACCGCUUUCGCCUGUGACGAAGCGUGAGUGACGGUAAUGGGUAAAGAAGCACCGGCUAACUACGUGCCAGCAGCCGCGGUGAUAUGUAGGGUGCGAGCGUUGUCCGGAUUUAUUGGGCGUAAAGGGCUCGUAGGUGGUUGAUCGCGUCGGAAGUGUAAUCUUGGGGCUUAACCCUGAGCGUGCUUUCGAUACGGGUUGACUUGAGGAAGGUAGGGGAGAAUGGAAUUCCUGGUGGAGCGGUGGAAUGCGCAGAUAUCAGGAGGAACACCAGUGGCGAAGGCGGUUCUCUGGGCCUUUCCUGACGCUGAGGAGCGAAAGCGUGGGGAGCGAACAGGCUUAGAUACCCUGGUAGUCCACGCUGUAAACGGUGGGUACUAGGUGUGGGGUCCAUUCCACGGGUUCCGUGCCGUAGCUAACGCUUUAAGUACCCCGCCUGGGGAGUACGGCCGCAAGGCUAAAACUCAAAGGAAUUGACGGGGCCCCGCACAAGCGGCGGAGCAUGCGGAUUAAUUCGAUGCAACGCGUAGAACCUUACCUGGGUUUGACAUGGAUCGGGAGUGCUCAGAGAUGGGUGUGCCUCUUUUGGGGUCGGUUCACAGGUGGUGCAUGGCUGUCGUCAGCUCGUGUCGUGAGAUGUUGGGUUAAGUCCCGCAACGAGCGCAACCCUUGUUCACUGUUGCCAGCACGUUAUGGUGGGGACUCAGUGGAGACCGCCGGGGUCAACUCGGAGGAAGGUGGGGAUGACGUCAAGCCAUCAUGCCCCUUAUGUCCAGGGCUUCACGCAUGCUACAAUGGCUGGUACAGAGAGUGGCGAGCCUGUGAGGGUGAGCGAAUCUCGGAAAGCCGGUCUCAGUUCGGAUUGGGGUCUGCAACUCGACCUCAUGAAGUCGGAGUCGCUAGUAAUCGCAGAUCAGCAACGCUGCGGUGAAUACGUUCCCGGGGCU
Molecule: ribosomal RNA, 1346 nt
Filed under: uncultured bacterium
Lineage: Bacteria
Description: partial 16S ribosomal RNA
Rfam family: Bacterial small subunit ribosomal RNA
Source: RNAcentral